Molecule: microRNA precursor, 90 nt
Filed under: Musa acuminata subsp. malaccensis (wild Malaysian banana)
Lineage: Eukaryota; Viridiplantae; Streptophyta; Magnoliopsida; Zingiberales; Musaceae
Description: mir-160 microRNA precursor family
Rfam family: mir-160 microRNA precursor family
About the family: The hairpin precursors (represented here) are predicted based on base pairing and cross-species conservation -- their extents are not known.
Source: Rfam by way of RNAcentral
UUAUGCCUGGCUCCCUGUAUGCCACACAUAUAGACCAAUUCAUGGGGUGAUUGGCUCUAUUGUGGGUGGCGUGCAAGGAGCCAAGCAUGC